GGAUGGGGACCUUGGCCUACGCCUCCCAGGUGAUGGAGACCUUGGCCUACGCCUCCCAGGUGAUGGAGACCUUGGCCUGCGCCUUACUGGAGAUGGAGAUGUACGUCUACCUGGUGAGAAUCUGCGUCGAACAGGAGACCUUCGACUUGCAGGAGAUGGUGACCUCCUUGGUACACGAGCUGGUGAGCGGCGAUGGCGAGGAGAAAGUGACCUUAGUGGCCCAGAUGAUGGUGAUUUUCUGCGAAGAGGAGAUCUCCGGCGUGUAAAUGGGGAUGGAUAUCUUGACAAGGAAGGCGACCCUCUCCUUGAGUAAGGUGAUCUCCUUCUAGAAAUUGAAGGGGUACUUCUUGGAGAAUGCCUUCGGGGAGAAAUAGAACGUCUAGGUGAAG
RNAcentral lists this unclassified non-coding RNA (389 nucleotides) under Zea mays. RNAcentral describes it as "misc RNA Zm00001eb012110". Lineage: Eukaryota; Viridiplantae; Streptophyta; Magnoliopsida; Poales; Poaceae. The record is from RNAcentral.